This 254-nucleotide ribosomal RNA is filed under the name uncultured bacterium. Its description in RNAcentral is "partial 16S ribosomal RNA". It matches the Rfam family "Bacterial small subunit ribosomal RNA", at positions 524 to 776 of the family's 1533-position model. The record is from RNAcentral.
UACGUAGGGGGCAAGCGUUGUCCGGAAUUAUUGGGCGUAAAGAGCGUGUAGGCGGUCCGGUAAGUCAGCUGUGAAAGUCAAGGGCUCAACCUCGAAACGCCACUCGAUACUGCUGUGACUAGAGUUCGGAAGAGGCGAGUGGAAUUCCCGGUGUAGCGGUGAAAUGCGCAGAUAUCGGGAGGAACACCAGUGGCGAAGGCGGCUAUCUGGGCUUUAACUGACGCUGAGGCGCGAAGGCUAGGGGAGCAAACAGG